Molecule: transfer RNA, 76 nt
Filed under: Clostridia bacterium
Lineage: Bacteria; Bacillati; Bacillota; Clostridia
Description: tRNA-Met
Rfam family: tRNA
About the family: Transfer RNA (tRNA) molecules are approximately 80 nucleotides in length.
Source: RNAcentral
CGCGGGAUGGAGCAGUUGGCAGCUCGUUGGGCUCAUAACCCGAAGGUCGCAAGUUCGAGUCUUGCUCCCGCAACCA